This 1131-nucleotide long non-coding RNA is filed under the name Chinchilla lanigera (long-tailed chinchilla). Its description in RNAcentral is "lncRNA (ENSCLAG00000028382.1)". The record is from RNAcentral. Lineage: Eukaryota; Metazoa; Chordata; Mammalia; Rodentia; Chinchillidae.
CCCUCCGCUGGGCCCGGUCGGAGGCAGCGAGGCGCUGUGCGAGGCGCAGGGGUCAGCGCGCCCCUGUCCGCGAGGAGGGCAGAGGGGGAGCCGCCGGGACCCCGCCUGAGAUCCCGCUCCCGGGAACACUGGAAACGGCGCCGUAGGAGCCAGGCUGAUAAGUUCUCCCUGCCACUGCAUUCCCUAGAGCCGUGGUGGAUACGCAGCAAGUAUUUCUGGGACGGAAAACUGAAGGAAUCCGUUAGGAGUUUGCCGAGAGGAAAGGGCGUUGUUACGGGGCGGUUGAGCCAGGUGCGAGGGACGCAGGUGGUGCUGACCAGGAUUCCUCCGUGAGGAGAAAUGAGAGUUUGUGGAAAUUAAUACUUAAAUAGGUAAGCAUCCCUGAUUCCUGAUGUGGAAACCAGCCCACGGCAAGCUUUAACAUCACCGGCGCUUUGGAAAGGACACUAGCUUUCUAAUUAACCUUCACUGGGGAUCCCAUCUAGGGUGACGUCACCGACGCCUGUGUGGGGUAGAGCACGUCAGAGUUAAGGUUCCAGCCAGAAGCAGAGCUUCGCAUGAGAUGACAGACUUUCUACCGCCUCGCUCUGAAUCCUGAGACAUUAUCAUGAGGAAUAUCUACACUUUGCAGAAUUUUGACCAAGAGAAGUUGACUUAUCAUUUCUUCUGCACAUUCCAAGCUUUUGGCUCAUCUCACCGUCUCAUUGGCUGCCAGUGACUCUGACGUGUCACACUGGUCCAGCUGGGGGAGCCAUACUGAUAUUAAAACUUAAAGCACUGGAAGAGAAUUCUCCCAAGGGAAAGUUUCCGAGGAAUUACUGUUCAACUAGUCUCUGUCAUCCCUCUGUAACCCCAAAAUGAAAACAAUAAUUUAAAAGCUUAUGUUGUCCCCAGCCAAAUAACCACAAUCUGCUCCCAAUGUAAGGUUCUGUAAUUACAUUAUUUUGAAGAAAUUCAAUAAAAUCUAUCCUACGGUACUGUUUUUGUAUUUUGCUAUAUUAAGCCAUUCCAGAUGGCGACUGAACAACAUACCUUUGAAGAGCCUUUUAUUUAUUUUCUCUAGUCUAAUAGUAGCAUUUCACAGCUUUUGCAACGUUUUAAGUUGCUGCCUGCUUUUGGCACCUUACCCAG